This 74-nucleotide transfer RNA is filed under the name Kribbella sandramycini. It matches the Rfam family "tRNA". Rfam says of the family: Transfer RNA (tRNA) molecules are approximately 80 nucleotides in length. Their secondary structure includes four short double-helical elements and three loops (D, anti-codon, and T loops). RNAcentral also lists the same sequence under 40 other names. Lineage: Bacteria; Bacillati; Actinomycetota; Actinomycetes; Propionibacteriales; Kribbellaceae. The record is from Rfam by way of RNAcentral.
GCGCCCGUAGCUCAGCUGGAUAGAGCGUCGGACUUCUAAUCCGUUGGUCGCAGGUUCGAAUCCUGCCGGGCGCG